UACGUAGGGACCGAGCGUUGUCCGGAUUCAUUGGGCGUAAAGAGCUCGUAGGCGGCUUGUUGCGUCGACUGUGAAAACCCGCGGCUUAACCGCGGGCUUGCAGUUGAUACGGGCAGGCUAGAGUUCGGUAGGGGAGACUGGAAUUCCUGGUGUAGCGGUGAAAUGCGCAGAUAUCAGGAGGAACACCGGUGGCGAAGGCGGGUCUCUGGGCCGAUACUGACGCUGAGGAGCGAAAGCGUGGGGAGCGAACAGG
RNAcentral lists this ribosomal RNA (253 nucleotides) under uncultured bacterium. RNAcentral's name for it is "partial 16S ribosomal RNA". It matches the Rfam family "Bacterial small subunit ribosomal RNA", at positions 524 to 776 of the family's 1533-position model. The record is from RNAcentral.